Molecule: ribosomal RNA, 497 nt
Filed under: uncultured bacterium
Lineage: Bacteria
Description: partial 16S ribosomal RNA
Rfam family: Bacterial small subunit ribosomal RNA
Source: RNAcentral
GAUGAACGCUGGCGGCGUGCCUAAUACAUGCAAGUCGAGCGAACAGACGAGGAGCUUGCUCCUCCGACGUUAGCGGCGGACGGGUGAGUAACACGUGGAUAACCUACCUAUAAGACUGGGAUAACUUCGGGAAACCGGAGCUAAUACCGGAUAAUAUAUUGAACCGCAUGGUUCAAUAGUGAAAGACGGUUUUGCUGUCACUUAUAGAUGGAUCCGCGCCGCAUUAGCUAGUUGGUAAGGUAACGGCUUACCAAGGCGACGAUGCGUAGCCGACCUGAGAGGGUGAUCGGCCACACUGGAACUGAGACACGGUCCAGACUCCUACGGGAGGCAGCAGUAGGGAAUCUUCCGCAAUGGGCGAAAGCCUGACGGAGCAACGCCGCGUGAGUGAUGAAGGUCUUCGGAUCGUAAAACUCUGUUAUUAGGGAAGAACAAAUGUGUAAGUAACUAUGCACGUCUUGACGGUACCUAAUCAGAAAGCCACGGCUAACUACGUG